UUUAAUUUUAUGAUUUUUACUUUUUAAGGAUAAGGAGGUGGAAAUAUAAACAGGAAAUAGUUGGGAGAAUGGUCUAUACAUGCCUCCACUAACAUAAAGAAUAAAAUGAUUUUGCCCUUUCUUAGUUCUUCAGAGAUCUCCCUGGCUAUCUCAAUUAAAUUGGCCACUCCAAAAUAAAACUACACUUUUAACCUUUAGAACUACAUCCUAAGGUAGGACAGAAACAGUUUUAGACAGAAAUCCUGGGAUGAAAGAGAGUUUCAAGUGACAUUUUUCUUGUAAAUAAAUAUCUGCUAAUGUCUUUUUCAAUAUGGCUGACUAGAUACCUGGAAUGAUCUUCCCCAAUGAGAAGAAAUAAAUGUGUUAAGUGAAACAUAAAAAGGCAUUGCUGAACUGGUUUGGUAAUAAGGAAUCUGCAGAGAUGCAUUUGUUGGGAAAGUAGAGAUCCACUUCACAUCUUGGGAUCCACUCUGAUGGCUUCAUGGACAACAAAUCAUAAACUCUAAGACUCUUCAAAGACACAAAAAGAUGGAAUUUGGAGGACAAGACAAGAGAUACUAAGAAGAGUAAAGCCAAUAAACAGACUGCAGCACAGAAAGGGUCCAGGACCAGGGAGGUGGCUUGUUCAGGAAAGAGUUAACUCAACAGGUCUGGGAUAUUCAAAUCCCACACAUUUCAAAAUAAAGCUCUGUCCUCAUUGGCUAUUGGGAGAAAAUCUACGUCUUUGGACUAUUCUUCCAGGUAAGACCCUAUUCAUAUGCCUAAGUUCCUUUGGCCAUGGCAGAUAAUUUAUGCUAACAAUGAAACUUAUAGGUCAUAAUGCAUCAGUUUUGACUUCUGGAGAGGUUGG
This 850-nucleotide long non-coding RNA is filed under the name Macaca mulatta (Rhesus monkey). RNAcentral describes it as "lncRNA (ENSMMUG00000063812.1)". Lineage: Eukaryota; Metazoa; Chordata; Mammalia; Primates; Cercopithecidae. The record is from RNAcentral.